UACGGAGGGUGCAAGCGUUGCUCGGAAUUAUUGGGCGUAAAGGGUAGGUAGGUGGUCUCGUUUGUCUGGGGUGAAAGCCUUGAGCUUAACUCAAGAAGUGCCCCAGAAACGGCGAGACUGGAGUCUUGGAGAGGGUCGUGGAAUUCCCGGUGUAGCGGUGAAAUGCGUAGAGAUCGGGAGGAACACCAGAGGCGAAAGCGGCGACCUGGACAAGUACUGACACUCAACUACGAAAGCGUGGGGAGCAAACAGG
This 253-nucleotide ribosomal RNA is filed under the name uncultured bacterium. RNAcentral's name for it is "partial 16S ribosomal RNA". It matches the Rfam family "Bacterial small subunit ribosomal RNA", at positions 524 to 776 of the family's 1533-position model. The record is from RNAcentral.